CUUUACUAAAACAACCUUCUUGGCUGGCAAUAGUGAAAUUGCUGAAAAAAUUUGGGUAAGCUGUUGGGACAAGUUAGUGAUGUGAAGAAUCGAAACCGUGUACGCAGGUCAAGAACAACCGAAGUGAUGACCAAAACCCAGAUUUGUCAAUUACUUGUCGAUUUUCGAAAUUAGGCAUAUCACAAAUGACAUUACACCGUAUUUUGCAUCAAAACAUAUGUCUUCGAAGUUCAGUUAACACAAUAACUCAAACGGGUAUGGAUCACCAGAAACGUCGUAUCUUCGGUGAUCGGGUCCUUGAAAUGCACCAAAAUGAUUUUCAUCGAAAAAUCAUCUUCAGUGAUGAGGCCCAUUUUCACGUCGAAGGCUACGUCAAUAGGCAUAAUUAUCGAAUUUGGAGCUUGGAAAUCUCUGUGAAUGAUUGUUGAAAAGCCUCUCCAUCCUCAAGGUGUCACUGUUUGCUAUGGUUUUUGGGCUGGUGUUGUGAUUGGGGCUUUACUUAUUCGAAAAUAAGGCUGGUUCAAAUGAUUGAAUUAAAGAGUUAUGAUUAAUGAUUUUAUUAGCCAGAAUUAGAAGAUAUUGAUCAAGAACGAUGUUCAUUUUCAACAAGACGGCAAUACGUGCCACACAAGCAACAAAAAUAGCAAUUUUGCAAAAAAAGUUUCCUGGUCGUAUUAUUUGUUGGAGAGCUGACCACAAUUGGCCAUCAAGGUCUUGUCAUUUAACACCUUUAGACUUUUUUCCUUGAGGUCACGUGAAAGAUAACGUCUAUGCCAAUACUCCACAAUCUGAUAAAGGAAACUCUUGCUCAGGCAAAACUAUGGUUUGAUGCGAACAAACUGAAGGAACAUAGAUAAGACUCAGCAUUUUCUAAUCGAAAUCCGACCUACACAAAGAACCAGCCUUAAGCUACUAGGAGUGACAAUUGAGCCUGAUCUUAAGUUCACAUGCCAUAUAGAAGAUAUGAAGAGGAAGCUGUCCAGAUCAAUAUUUACUGUGAGGAGAACUCAACAACUUGCCGGCCAGCUAUCUGCAAAGAAAGCAUACUUCAGCUACUUUCACAGUAUAACCUCCUAUUGCAUCAUUUUUUGGGGUGAUAGUCCACAUGCUGUGAAGAUAUUUAUUAAGCAAAAAAAGGCCAUUAGAGCAUUGUGUGGUACAGGACGUCUGGAUAGCUGGAGAGAGGAACAACUUUCAUCAUGACUACUCUACCAGACACGCCAACAACCUUGCCCUUCAACAUCAUAGGGUAGGAUCUUCCCAGCUGACCAUCAAUCAUACAGGCCUGAAGGUUUAUAAUAAGUUACCCCUAGGUUUCAGGCAACUAACAAGAAGAACCCUGAAAAGCCAUUUGAAGAAAUAUCUACUGGAGAAGGCCUAUACUACUCCAUGAAUGAAUAUUUUCUGAAUCUGUGAUUUAUCUGUUUUUUUGUUUGCUAUUUAUGUUAUUGAUGUUUUUAUAUUGUUUCUACAUUAGAUGUUGACUCCCCAUGUACUUUUGAUGGGUUAAAAUAAUCUUCCAUGUAUUUAUUAGGAGGAUGAAUAAAUAAAUAAA
Harmonia axyridis is the source of this 1555-nucleotide long non-coding RNA. RefSeq lists it as uncharacterized. The record is from RefSeq and is a predicted model, not a curated record. Lineage: Eukaryota; Metazoa; Arthropoda; Insecta; Coleoptera; Coccinellidae. The transcript is spliced from 2 exons.